This 429-nucleotide ribosomal RNA is filed under the name Actinomycetes bacterium. Its description in RNAcentral is "Actinobacteria bacterium partial 16S ribosomal RNA". It matches the Rfam family "Bacterial small subunit ribosomal RNA", at positions 355 to 776 of the family's 1533-position model. The record is from RNAcentral. Lineage: Bacteria; Bacillati; Actinomycetota; Actinomycetes.
UAGGGAAUCUUCCGCAAUGGGCGAAAGCUUGACGGAGCAACGCCGCGUGAGUGAUGAAGGUCUUCGGAUCGUAAAACUCUGUUAUUAGGGAAGAACAAAUGUGUAAGUAACUAUGCACGUCUUGACGGUACCUAAUCAGAAAGCCACGGCUAACUACGUGCCAGCAGCCGCGGUAAUACGUAGGUGGCAAGCGUUAUCCGGAAUUAUUGGGCGUAAAGCGCGCGUAGGCGGUUUUUUAAGUCUGAUGUGAAAGUCCACGGCUCAACCGUGGAGGGUCAUUGGAAACUGGAAAACUUGAGUGCAGAAGAGGAAAGUGGAAUUCCAUGUGUAGCGGUGAAAUGCGCAGAGAUAUGGAGGAACACCAGUGGCGAAGGCGACUUUCUGGUCUGUAACUGACGCUGAUGUGCGAAAGCGUGGGGAUCAAACAGG